This 300-nucleotide ribosomal RNA is filed under the name uncultured Alteromonadales bacterium. RNAcentral's name for it is "bacterial SSU rRNA". It matches the Rfam family "Bacterial small subunit ribosomal RNA", at positions 114 to 417 of the family's 1533-position model. Lineage: Bacteria; Pseudomonadati; Pseudomonadota; Gammaproteobacteria; Alteromonadales. The record is from RNAcentral.
CACGUAGGAAUCUACCUGGUAGUGGGGGACAACAUGUGGAAACGCAUGCUAAUACCGCAUACGACCUAAGGGUGAAAGUGGGGGACCUUCGGGCCUCACGCUAUCGGAUGAGCCUGCGUAAGAUUAGCUAGUUGGUGAGGUAAGAGCUCACCAUGGCGACGAUCUCUAGCUGGUUUGAGAGGAUGAUCAGCCACACUGGGACUGAGACACGGCCCAGACUCCUACGGGAGGCAGCAGUGGGGAAUUUUCCGCAAUGGGCGAAAGCCUGACGGAGCAACGCCGCGUGAGGGAUGAAGGCCU